UACGGAGGGUGCGAGCGUUGUCCGGAAUCAUUGGGCGUAAAGGGCGCGUAGGCGGCCACUUCAAGCGUGCGGUGAAAGUCGGGGGCUCAACCCCUGAUCGGCCGUGCGAACUGGGGGGCUGGAGCACUGUAGAGGCAGGCGGAAUUCCGGGUGUAGCGGUGGAAUGCGUAGAGAUCCGGAAGAACACCGGUGGCGAAGGCGGCCUGCUGGGCAGUGGCUGACGCUGAGGCGCGACAGCGUGGGGGAGCAAACAGG
RNAcentral lists this ribosomal RNA (255 nucleotides) under uncultured bacterium. RNAcentral's name for it is "partial 16S ribosomal RNA". It matches the Rfam family "Bacterial small subunit ribosomal RNA", at positions 524 to 776 of the family's 1533-position model. The record is from RNAcentral.